AAUGGAGGAAACUCUGAUGCAGCGAUGCCGCGUGAGUGAAGAAGGCCUUUGGGUUGUAAAGCUCUUUCGUCGGGGAAGAAAAUGACUGUACCCGAGUAAGAAGGUCCGGCUAACUUCGUGCCAGCAGCCGCGGUAAUACGAAGGGACCUAGCGUAGUUCGGAAUUACUGGGCAUAAAGAGUUCGUAGGUGGUUGAAAAAGUUGGUGGUGAAAUCCCAGAGCUCAACUCUGGAACUGCCAUCAAAACUUUUCAGCUAGAGUUUGAUAGAGGAAAGCAGAAUUUCUAGUGUAGAGGUGAAAUUCGUAGAUAUUCGGAGGAACACCAAUUGCGAAGGCAGCUCACUGGGCCGCUAUCGACGCUGAGGAGCGAAAGCUAGGGGAGCAAACAGGAUU
This 392-nucleotide ribosomal RNA is filed under the name uncultured Gammaproteobacteria bacterium. RNAcentral's name for it is "bacterial SSU rRNA". It matches the Rfam family "Bacterial small subunit ribosomal RNA", at positions 370 to 779 of the family's 1533-position model. The record is from RNAcentral. Lineage: Bacteria; Pseudomonadati; Pseudomonadota; Gammaproteobacteria.